UACCCGCUGAACUUAAGCAUAUCAAUAAGCGGAGAGAA
RNAcentral lists this ribosomal RNA (38 nucleotides) under Rhizoctonia solani. Its description in RNAcentral is "partial 28S ribosomal RNA". Lineage: Eukaryota; Fungi; Basidiomycota; Agaricomycetes; Cantharellales; Ceratobasidiaceae. The record is from RNAcentral.